ACUGGGCGUAAAGCGUGCGCAGGCGGUUUUGUAAGACUGUCGUGAAAUCCCCGGGCUCAACCUGGGAAUGGCGAUGGUGACUGCAAGGCUAGAGUUUGGCAGAGGGGGGUAGAAUUCCACGUGUAGCAGUGAAAUGCGUAGAUAUGUGGAGGAACACCGAUGGCGAAGGCAGCCCCCUGGGUCAAAACUGACGCUCAUGCACGAAAGCGUGGGGAGCAAACAGGAUUAGAUACCCUGGUAGUCCACGCCCUAAACGAUGUCUACUAGUUGUCGGGUCUUAAUUGACUUGGUAACGCAGCUAACGCGUGAAGUAGACCGCCUGGGGA
RNAcentral lists this ribosomal RNA (326 nucleotides) under uncultured bacterium. RNAcentral describes it as "bacterial SSU rRNA". It matches the Rfam family "Bacterial small subunit ribosomal RNA", at positions 553 to 879 of the family's 1533-position model. The record is from RNAcentral.